This is a long non-coding RNA of Sebastes umbrosus (honeycomb rockfish), 724 nucleotides long. RefSeq lists it as uncharacterized. The record is from RefSeq and is a predicted model, not a curated record. Lineage: Eukaryota; Metazoa; Chordata; Actinopteri; Perciformes; Sebastidae. The transcript has 3 exons.
UUUUUUUUAACAUUACAGCAUGUAAACAUGUUCUAGUAGAAACACAAAAUACAAGUAUGAACCUGAAAAUGAGCACGAUAUGGGACCUUUAAAACAAAGGAUCAUUAUUGUAUUGAUUAAUCUAUGAAAAUGUACAUAUUCCCAAAAAAAUGGCAGUAAUUCAGAAUCUGGGAGGCUUUAUUAAUUGUAUAAAAUAAAGGUCGCAUUCCCCAGUCUCCUUCACAAAUUAGAGGAAAAGUAGUGCAUCUCACCCAGUAGAUGGAGGUAAUGUGCACAGAGUGGAAACUGUCAAUAAACCGGAAGAAGAAGAAGAAAAGACCUGGAAGUUAGAUGAAGGCUGCUGCAGAAGUGGAGCAGUAUGCAUGCUCGAGGUCCUCAGGAAAAUGUUACAUAGGAACGUUUAUAUUCUUCUUACAAGUGUUAAAGUGCACGUUUUGUGCAUAUUAAUUUUAAGCAUUUGUGCAUAUUAAUAUUUUGAGCAUGAUUUUUAAACGAGGUUUGGUUCAGUAAUAGCAUUUCACUGCACGUGGGCGUCCAUGUCUGAUAAUUUGAUCAACUGAAGAACAGGAGUUCCAGUGAAAUCUGCAGUGUGGACCUGACAUGCAUGGUCAACCUGCUGAAGUGAAAGUGAGUCCAGGGGCAUCUACCAAAAGCACUUGACUGUUGUUGUUGUUUUUUUAUUUGAAGUUACUCAUUACCAAAUAAAUACAAAUUGUGACAUAAA